UUAGCCUCCAUUCAAUGUUUCCCUUCCAACAAAAUAAUGAAUUUUCGUCCCAAAUCUCCUCGAAUCCCCACCAAGAUAUUGCUGAAGACAAUCCGAUCUUGGGUGGAACUUCCAACCUUUCCAACUUUAUGGUGGAUGGCCAGCCUCCUUUAAUAUUAGCAAAUUCAAACACUAAUAAUGAAGUUAAUUAUACUUGCGAUGAGAAGAAGAUCAUUCGCAAGGAGAUCGAACGGCAAAGAAGGCAACAAAUGUCUACUCUUCAUGCAUCGCUUCGAUCCCUCCUUCCUCUUGAAUCACUCAAGGGAAAACGUUCAAUGUCUGAUCACUUAAAUGCGGCUGCGAAAUAUAUAAAAAACCUUCAGAAUAACGUCCAAGAACUGAGUGUUAAGAGAGAUAUGCUCAAGAAUUUGUCCGAUUCUUCUACUUCUCUUGAUGACCAAGGGACGGAAAUUAGUUCACAAAAUAAUUUCAUGAACACUAUUGUUACUGUCCGCUCUCAUGUGGGUGGAGUAGAGAUUGGCGUAAGUUGUGGAUCCGGAGAGAACAGUUUUACUCUAUCAAGAGUGCUAGAAGCUGUUGUAGAAGAGGGAUUUGACGUUGUUAGCUGCAUUUCCACCAAAAGAGAUGGAAGGUUAUAUAGUACAAUUCAGUGCCAGGCUAGCCAUCUAACCUGCAUUGAUGUAGCUGAGCUGCAACAGAAACUGAAUGAUGGGAUCGAUGGGGGGAAAAAGGAUCAUUUGAAGUAAAGCGUUGAUACAUUGCAUGCAUAAACAUCAAAAAUUGGCCUCAACAAUAUAUGCACUGGCAUUGCACAUCAAUUUAUACUUCAAGGGUGCAUGGGAUUAAACAAGAUAGACCCAUUCAACGCUGAUCGACUAAUUAAAUGCCAGAAAAGGAAGGAGGCUACCCAGUUGAAGCACACUUCAAAGAGGGAUCACACAUAAUUAUCAGAUGCAUUUCCUGGAGAGGGACAUUAAUUCAAUAGACGUCUAAAUUAGUGCACACAAACGUUCAUUGCUCUUGACUGGCCGUAACUUUCUUUGGAAAUUACUUUAAUAAGACUACCAUAAUUAAUUUUAUGUUUGCUGAAAUUGCAUGAUCAAUUUAGGCACAUAUAUGUUUUGUUUCUUUGACAAGAUCGUUCCGGUAGUGAAACAGAAAUUGUCAAUUCUUGUAUUGUUUAUACAGAAAUUGUUUAAUGUUAUAUAUAUAUUGUUUACUGUUA
RNA transcript from Hevea brasiliensis (rubber tree), 1225 nucleotides. It is a transcript of the gene named transcription factor bHLH120, with no coding region annotated. The transcript is spliced from 5 exons. Lineage: Eukaryota; Viridiplantae; Streptophyta; Magnoliopsida; Malpighiales; Euphorbiaceae. The record is from RefSeq and is a predicted model, not a curated record.